RNAcentral lists this ribosomal RNA (503 nucleotides) under Escherichia coli. RNAcentral describes it as "partial 23S ribosomal RNA". It matches the Rfam family "Bacterial large subunit ribosomal RNA", at positions 1006 to 1512 of the family's 2925-position model. RNAcentral also lists the same sequence under 2 other names. The record is from RNAcentral. Lineage: Bacteria; Pseudomonadati; Pseudomonadota; Gammaproteobacteria; Enterobacterales; Enterobacteriaceae.
CGUCGUGAAGAGGGAAACAACCCAGACCGCCAGCUAAGGUCCCAAAGUCAUGGUUAAGUGGGAAACGAUGUGGGAAGGCCCAGACAGCCAGGAUGUUGGCUUAGAAGCAGCCAUCAUUUAAAGAAAGCGUAAUAGCUCACUGGUCGAGUCGGCCUGCGCGGAAGAUGUAACGGGGCUAAACCAUGCACCGAAGCUGCGGCAGCGACGCUUAUGCGUUGUUGGGUAGGGGAGCGUUCUGUAAGCCUGUGAAGGUGUGCUGUGAGGUAUGCUGGAGGUAUCAGAAGUGCGAAUGCUGACAUAAGUAACGAUAAAGCGGGUGAAAAGCCCGCUCGCCGGAAGACCAAGGGUUCCUGUCCAACGUUAAUCGGGGCAGGGUGAGUCGACCCCUAAGGCGAGGCCGAAAGGCGUAGUCGAUGGGAAACAGGUUAAUAUUCCUGUACUUGGUGUUACUGCGAAGGGGGGACGGAGAAGGCUAUGUUGGCCGGGCGACGGUUGUCCCGGUU